AGCAGUAGCCGCGGUAAUACGUAGGGGGCGAGCGUUGUCCGAAGUUACUGGGCGUAAAGCGCGCGUAGGCGGCUUCUUAAGUCUGAGGUGAAAGGUUCAACGCUUAACGUGAACAGUGCCUUGGAUACUGGGGAGCUUGAGUAUGGGAGAGGGCAGUGGAAUGGCUGGUGUAGCGGUGAAAUGCGUAGAUAUCAGUCGGAACACCCAUGGCGAAGGCAGCUGCCUGGCCUAAUACUGACGCUGAGGUGCGAAAGCGUGGGGAGCGAACGGGAUUAGAGAACCGCGUAGUCCCUGUCUCUUAUA
This 303-nucleotide ribosomal RNA is filed under the name uncultured bacterium. Its description in RNAcentral is "partial 16S ribosomal RNA". It matches the Rfam family "Bacterial small subunit ribosomal RNA", at positions 507 to 808 of the family's 1533-position model. The record is from RNAcentral.